GACGAACCGUCCGAACGUUAUUCGGAAUUACUGGGCUUAAAGGGUGCGUAGGCGGCGCGGAAAGUCGGGUGUGAAAUCCCUCGGCUCAACCGAGGAAUGGCGCUCGAAACUACCGUGCUCGAGGAAGGCAGAGGUGAGCGGAACUCAGGGUGGAGCGGUGAAAUGCGUUGAUAUCCUGAGGAACACCGGUGGCGAAAGCGGCUCACUGGGCCUUUUCUGACGCUGAUGCACGAAAGCUAGGGGAGCAAACGGG
Molecule: ribosomal RNA, 253 nt
Filed under: uncultured bacterium
Lineage: Bacteria
Also listed under: 1 other name
Description: partial 16S ribosomal RNA
Rfam family: Bacterial small subunit ribosomal RNA
Source: RNAcentral